This 502-nucleotide ribosomal RNA is filed under the name uncultured bacterium. RNAcentral's name for it is "partial 16S ribosomal RNA". It matches the Rfam family "Bacterial small subunit ribosomal RNA", at positions 28 to 507 of the family's 1533-position model. The record is from RNAcentral.
GAUUAACGCUGGCGGCGUGCCUAACACAUGCAAGUCGAGCGGCAGCGAGUUUUACACUGACUUCUGGAAGCUUCUAGUUGAAAGAGAAGAUUUAUUCAAGAAUUUUGUGUAAAAUGUCGGCGAGCGGCGGACGGCUGAGUAACGCGUGGGAACGUACCCCAAAGUGAGGGAUAACGCAUCGAAAGGUGUGCUAAUACCGCAUAUGGUCUUCGGAUUAAAGCCUUCGGGCGCUUUGGGAACGGCCUGCGUAAGAUUAGAUAGCUGGUGGGGUAAUGGCCUACCAAGUCGACGAUCUUUAACUGGUUUGAGAGGAUGAUCAGUCAGACUGGAACUGAGACACGGUCCAGACUCCUACGGGAGGCAGCAGUGAGGAAUCUUCCACAAUGGGCGAAAGCCUGAUGGAGCAACGCCGCGUGCAGGAUGAAGGCCUUCGGGUUGUAAACUGCUUUUAUAAGUGAGGAUUAUGACAGUAACUUAUGAAUAAGGAUCGGCUAACUACGUG